CGAAGUGUUACCAACAGCGGGCAGCAAAGAGCCCUACUGAAGAGGAGUCAUUAAAGCCACGCAUUUUUGGAAGGGUGAUGUACUGCAAAGGCUGCGCAAAAUGAAGACGGAUGGAGAGAGGGAACCUUCUAUCUGACCGUGUGGUUCUUCACCUGUUGCCUUUCUUGCUUCAAGAAAAAAAAGGUGCCCAUACAGCAGCCAGUGAGACCUUUGUGGGGAACGAUGGCCAGAAAACAUCAGAGAUUUGAAGCCCUGGGAAGUGACAGUGCAGAGGCGAGGCCCAUGAUCAGUAUUAAUGAUGGCCCCAGGGGGUUGCUGGGUCCUCCUUAGAGAAAACAGUGAGUGCUGAUAAUAUUUUCACCAUUAUGCUGAUGUCUGAUCUUUCAUUUCUCCAUCAGCAACACCUCCCACCCCAUCUGAGCUCAGUGCCCUGAAGAAGAGUGUGCUUAAAGGUGAGGUCAAGGUAGUUUCAAGAGAUGUUAAAAGAAAAAGCGAGGGCAGGCUGGCAGCCAGGAAAGGGAAAAUUUGCCUCAUUGUUAAAGGAAGAAAAGAGUAUCAGAGGGCUUUUUAAAAUGUCAAGAGUGGAGUAUUGCUGUGUGCUCUUUGCUUAUUGAGUAGAGUUUGAGGGAGGUUUGCUUUAAAUAUACCUUCCAUACAAAUAUACAGAAACAUGUUUUUUAGCGAACUUUAAACAUUAGCUAUAAUAGUCUUUGGAUAAAAAGGCAGUCAUUAUUUCUUCGAGCUCACUCUCUACUGCUGAGCAAAUGUUCCAGUGUGGCAGGAUGGUGGCUUUAAAAAUAGCUGUUCACUCCAGAGCCUCUGAGUGUGGCUGGGAGGUUAAAUUAAAUGUUUGACUGUGAGCAGUCAUUGAUGUGGUCCAAGAGCCGCAGCCAGCAAACCCUCAUUUCACUGAAGCCAGUGGAAAUACGAGGUAGUGGGAAAAGCUUGCAGAAAGAGAGAAGGUUUGCGUGUCUUUGGAAGUUCCACGCCUUUUGGGAGCUAUUUUUAAAAAUUGCUUGCUGAACUGUUAUGGCACCUGUCAUAGAAAUCACAGGAAACUGGGUGGAAGGGCACUGACAGGGUGUUUUCUUGGGUGACAUACCUUUGCCAUUUCUAAAGGUACUUGUCCAAUCUCUUCUUAAAUGUCUAGAGACGGAGACCCAUGCACCUUGGCUCAGCAGCUCUGGUGCUUUGCUGCUCCCACCGACCCAAAGUUCUGCUGGAUUUUGUCCGAGUCUCCCUUGCUGUAACUUAUGGAUGUUGUUUUUGUCCUACCCACAGCAGAAAUGGGGAAAAAUGUAGUUGUUCCUUUCUUUGUCCUUUGAAUUUAUCCUCCUUUGGGCAGAACAGAUG
Long non-coding RNA from Grus americana (Whooping crane), 1353 nucleotides. RefSeq lists it as uncharacterized. The transcript is spliced from 3 exons. The record is from RefSeq and is a predicted model, not a curated record. Lineage: Eukaryota; Metazoa; Chordata; Aves; Gruiformes; Gruidae.